CCUACGGGUGGCAGCAGUGGGGAAUAUUGCACAAUGGGGGAAACCCUGAUGCAGCCACGCCGCGUGAGUGACGACGUCUUUCGGUAUGUAAAGCUCUUUUAGCCGGGAAGCAGCUGACGGUACCUGCUUCAGCAGACACGGCUAACUACGUGCCAGCAGCCGCGGUCAUACGUCGGGGGUCAGCGUUAUUCGGAGUUACUGGAUGUAAAGGGAGCGCAGACGGGAGUGCAAGUCUGGAGUGAAAGCCCGGGGCCCAACCCCGGAACUGCUCUGGAAACUGGGCUGCUAGAGUUGUGGAGAGGCAGGCGGAAUGCCUAGUGUAGCGGUGAAAUGCGUAGAUAUUACGAGGAACACCAGUGGCGAAGGCGGCCUGCUGGACAGUAACUGACGUUGAGGCUCGAAAGCGUGGGGAGCAAACAGGAUUAGAUACCCCUGUAGUC
RNAcentral lists this ribosomal RNA (440 nucleotides) under uncultured bacterium. Its description in RNAcentral is "partial 16S ribosomal RNA". It matches the Rfam family "Bacterial small subunit ribosomal RNA", at positions 338 to 795 of the family's 1533-position model. The record is from RNAcentral.